AAGUAGCGAUUAUCCAGGCUUGUAUCCUGGGAAGGCUGAUGAGGAGUAGGGUUUCUGGACACUUAAACAGAUCCAGAGUUAGUCGAUCCUAAUCUCAAUAAUGGGAGAAAGGGAGUACAGUUGAUAUUCUGUAACUGACAACAGUUCGCGGCAACGCAUACUAUUUUUCUCCGCCAAUCUUAUACCGUUGGUAGGGAUCUCUUUCCUACAUGACAGUACUAAUACCCAGGGAAACUGGUCAUCAGGCGAACUGCGGCGUUCUGCUGGCAAAACAUAGCUUCGGUUAUGUCAAUGGCUAUUGGAUUGGUCCAUGAAGCGAAAAAUAGUUUACUGUGUCACUCGUACCGAUAACCGCAUCAGGUCUUCUAGGUAAGUAGCCUAUGGCCAUUGAGGCAUGAUAGUUCAGGGAAUUCGGCCAAUUAGAGCUGUAACUUCGGGAUAAAGCUUGGCUCUGAUGAAAAUCAGAACCGAUUGUUACGCGGAGAGCCCAACUGUUUAAUAAAAACGUAGUGUCGCGCUGUGGUAGUAUAGCCAGUGAACGCGACAUGAAUCCUGCUCAGUGCUGUGUCUGUUAAUAUGGUUCAAGCCAACGAAGCACCGGUAAAUAGCUGGGGUAACUAUGACUCUUAUCAAAGUAGCGAAAUACCUCGUCACUUAAUUAGUGACCUGCAUGAACGGAGCUAUGAGGUUCUCACUGUCCCAAACUGUCUCUCAGCGAACCAACUGUAGUGGGAACGGUCACUAGAUAUCCAGCGGGGAAAGAAGACCCUGUAGAGCUUCACUUUGGUCUAGUCUUGUAUAGUUCCUGCGGGGGUGUAGACUAGGUGGGAGAGCAAUCGAUUCUGAAAAACCACUACCCUGUUUGGAAUUAUGCUUACCUAUCACAAGGAAUAGGACUAGAUAGAAAGUUUGGCUGGGGCGGCACACCUUCGAAAGAGCAGCGAAGGUGUCCUAAGUUGAGCUCAGUGAGGACAGAAAUCUCACGUUGAGGAUAAGG
RNAcentral lists this non-coding RNA (997 nucleotides) under Trichomonas vaginalis G3. RNAcentral describes it as "Eukaryotic large subunit ribosomal RNA". It matches the Rfam family "Eukaryotic large subunit ribosomal RNA", at positions 1458 to 2708 of the family's 3401-position model. Lineage: Eukaryota; Parabasalia; Trichomonadida; Trichomonadidae. The record is from Rfam by way of RNAcentral.